UACAGAGCAACUUGUCAUCAGGAAGGUGCUCUCUCAGCACAACGGAAAAUAUCUCAAUGACUUGACAUGUUCUGGUUGUGAAUUCAGGCUACAAGGCGUCAGUGCUCGGAAAUGAGUCUCUCUGGGGAGAGAGAGGAGGGGGUCCCUGCCUCUAAAAUGAGUCACUCUGGGGAACAUGAUUCCAAAGCUAAGAGCUCAAUCAAGCAGGAGAGACCAGCCUCCCCUGUACCCAGCUGUGUGUCUAUGAAGAGUGAUGAGUCUAUGGAUCCUCCUAUAAUGUUUAGAGAGGGAGACGUUUCUACUGAACAAAGAAACCAACAGGAGAGAUCAGAGUCAGAGAUUCUCAG
Salvelinus sp. IW2-2015 is the source of this 347-nucleotide non-coding RNA. Lineage: Eukaryota; Metazoa; Chordata; Actinopteri; Salmoniformes; Salmonidae. The record is from RefSeq and is a predicted model, not a curated record.